GGAUAGGAAAUUAAGAGGCAUCUUUUAAUUUUUAAAAGACCUUUUUCGAAAGGUAUGCUUAAAGAGGGGCUUGCGCCACAUUAGUUAGUUGGUAAGGUAAAGGCUUACCAAGACGAUGAUGUGUAGCUGGACUGAGAGGUCGAACAGCCACAUUGGGACUGAGACACGGCCCAAACUCCUACGGGAGGCAGCAGUAAGGAAUUUUUGGCAAUGGAGGAAACUCUGUCCGAGCGACGCCGCGUGAACAAUGAAGUACUUCGGUAUGUAAAGUUCUUUUAUUGAAAAAGAAAAAAUAGUGGAAAAACUAUCUUGACAUUAUUCAAUGAAUAAGCCCCGGCUAAUUAUGUGCCAGCAGCCGCGGUAAUACAUAAGGGGCGAGCGUUAUCCGGAAUUAUUGGGCGUAAAGGGUGCGUAGGCGGUUUGAUAAGUCUAUAGUUUAAAUGCAGUGCUUAACGCUGUAGCGCUAUAGAAACUGUCUGACUAGAGUUAGAUAGAGGCAAGCGGAAUUCCAUGUGUAGCGGUAAAAUGCGUAAAUAUAUGGAGGAACACCAGAGGCGUAGGCGGCUUGCUGGGUCUUAACUGACGCUGAGGCACGAAAGCGUGGGGAGCAAACAGGAUUAGAUACCCUGGUAGUCCACGCCGUAAACGAUGAGUACUAAGUGUCGGGUUUCGGCUCGGUACUGAAGUUAACACAUUAAGUACUCCGCCUGAGUAGUACGUACGCAAGUAUGAAACUUAAAGGAAUUGACGGGACCCCGCACAAGCGGUGGAUCAUGUUGUUUAAUUCGAAGAUACACGAAAAACCUUACCAGGUCUUGACAUAAUUUUGCGACAUUAUAGAAAUAUAAUGAAGGUUAUCAGAAUUACAGGUGGUGCAUGGUUGUCGUCAGCUCGUGUCGUGAGAUGUUAGGUUAAGUCCUAAAACGAGCGCAACCCUUGUCGUUAGUUGCGACCACGUAAUGGUGAGCACUUUAGCGAGACUGCCAAUGAAAAAUUGGAGGAAGGUGAGGAUUACGUCAAAUCAUCAUGCCCCUUAUGAUCUGGGCUACAAACGUGAUACAAUGGCUGUUACAAAGAGUAGCUACAACGUGAGUUUUUAGCCAAUCUCAAAAAAACAGUCUCAGUUCGGAUUGAAGUCUGCAACUCGACUUCAUGAAGUUGGAAUCGCUAGUAAUCGCGAAUCAGCAUGUCGCGGUGAAUACGUUCUCGGGGUUUGUACUAACCGCCCGA
This 1230-nucleotide ribosomal RNA is filed under the name 'Sophora alopecuroides' phyllody phytoplasma. Its description in RNAcentral is "bacterial SSU rRNA". It matches the Rfam family "Bacterial small subunit ribosomal RNA", at positions 171 to 1397 of the family's 1533-position model. The record is from RNAcentral. Lineage: Bacteria; Bacillati; Mycoplasmatota; Mollicutes; Acholeplasmatales; Acholeplasmataceae.